Molecule: ribosomal RNA, 445 nt
Filed under: uncultured bacterium
Lineage: Bacteria
Description: partial 16S ribosomal RNA
Rfam family: Bacterial small subunit ribosomal RNA
Source: RNAcentral
GUGAGGAAUAUUGCGCAAUGGAGGCAACUCUGACGCAGCCAUGCCGCGUGCAGGAAGAAGGCGCUACGCGUUGUAAACUGCUUUUAACCGGGAAGAAACCCCAGGACGUGUCCUGGGUUGACGGUACCGGAGGAAUAAGCACCGGCUAACUUCGUGCCAGCAGCCGCGGUAAUACGAAGGGUGCAAGCGUUAUCCGGAUUCAUUGGGUUUAAAGGGUGCGUAGGCGGAGCGUUAAGUCAGUGGUGAAAUCCUGCAGCUUAACUGUAGACUUGCCAUUGAUACUGGCGCUCUUGAGUGCCCUUGAAGUGGGCGGAAUGUGCCGUGUAGCGGUGAAAUGCUUAGAUAUGGCACAGAACACCAAUUGCGAAGGCAGCUCACUAAGGCGAUACUGACGCUGAGGCACGAAAGCGUGGGGAUCGAACAGGAUUAGAAACCCCGGUAGUCC